Molecule: non-coding RNA, 74 nt
Organism: Smittium megazygosporum
Lineage: Eukaryota; Fungi; Kickxellomycota; Harpellomycetes; Harpellales; Legeriomycetaceae
Source: the annotation of a GenBank genome assembly
GCUUCUUUAGCUCAGUUGGUUAGAGCGCCGUGCUAAUAACGCGGAUGUCACAGGUUCGAUCCCUGUAAGGAGCA